Long non-coding RNA from Tribolium castaneum (red flour beetle), 571 nucleotides. RefSeq lists it as uncharacterized. The transcript has 2 exons. Lineage: Eukaryota; Metazoa; Arthropoda; Insecta; Coleoptera; Tenebrionidae. The record is from RefSeq and is a predicted model, not a curated record.
GCCAAACUUUCUCAUUGCUAUUUUAUAGCCGUUUCCCCAGACGUCGUCAUCAAUUGAGGCACAUAAUUCCUGCCACUUUGAAUGUUUUGAGAUUUUUAUUUCCUUUCGUAGUUUAUCCCUUGCUAUUUUUAGUGUGUUUACCUUAGUUUCUAGGUUUUGUGACAAUGUUGUUUUAGGUCGAGCUCUUGUUACAGCUCGUCUGGCUUUGAUAGAUUCUUUCCGGAGUUGGGCAAUACGAUCGUUCCACCAGUAGCAGGGUCUUCGUUUUGGUGAAAAAGAUUUCUUUAACAUCGCAGCGUUGCAUGAUUUUUCAAGACUGUCUUUUAGUUGCUCGGGUUCCACGCUGGGGGUUGGUUUGAAUUAUACUGAUGGCUAUCUGGUAAAUUUGUUUCCCAUUUGAAAGAAAUGAUUUUGUGGUCGCUGAGGGAUUCUGUAUCCAUCGUUGUCCAUCCUUGUAUGUUAUUUGCGACGUUUUGAGAUACUAGUGUUAAGUCUAUGAUUGAUUUUGAUGUACCUCUUUCAAAUGUAUAGUAGUUUGGUUUGUUUUUGGUAAUAAAGUUUAGUUCUGCAA